This 490-nucleotide ribosomal RNA is filed under the name uncultured bacterium. Its description in RNAcentral is "partial 16S ribosomal RNA". It matches the Rfam family "Bacterial small subunit ribosomal RNA", at positions 29 to 506 of the family's 1533-position model. The record is from RNAcentral.
GUGAACGCUGGCGGUAGGCCUAACACAUGCAAGUCGAACGGCAGCACAGUAAGAGCUUGCUCUUACGGGUGGCGAGAGGCGGACGGGUGAGGAAUACAUCGGAAUCUACUUUUUCGUGGGGGAUAACGUAGGGAAACUUACGCUAAUACCGCAUACGACCUACGGGUGAAAGCAGGGGAUCUUCGGACCUUGCGCGAUUGAAUGAGCCGAUGUCGGAUUAGCUAGUUGGCGGGGUAAAGGCCCACCAAGGCGACGAUCCGUAGCUGGUCUGAGAGGAUGAUCAGCCACACUGGAACUGAGACACGGUCCAGACUCCUACGGGAGGCAGCAGUGGGGAAUAUUGGACAAUGGGCGCAAGCCUGAUCCAGCCAUACCGCGUGGGUGAAGAAGGCCUUCGGGUUGUAAAGCCCUUUUGUUGGGAAAGAAAAGCAGCAGGUUAAUACCCCGCUGUUCUGACGGUACCCAAAGAAUAAGCACCGGCUAACUUCGU